UGGGGAAUAUUGCGCAAUGGGGGAAACCCUGACGCAGCGACGCCGCGUGUGGGAUGAAGGUCUUCGGAUUGUAAACCACUGUCGCGAGGGACGAAGCUCUGACGGUACCUCGAAAGGAAGCACCGGCUAACUCUGUGCCAGCAGCCGCGGUAAUACAGAGGGUGCGAGCGUUGUCCGGAAUCACUGGGCGCAAAGGGCGCGUAGGCGGCCCGGUAAGUAGGGGGUGAAAUCUCAUGGCUCAACUGUGAGGCUGCCUUCUAGACUGCCAGGCUUGAGCACAGUAGAGGCGAGUGGAAUUCCCGGUGUAGCGGUGGAAUGCGUAGAGAUCGGGAAGAACAUCGGUGGCGAAGGCGGCUCGCUGGGCUGUUGCUGACGCUGAGGCGCGAAAGCGUGGGGAGCGAACGGGAUUAGAUACCCUGGUAGUCCCUGAGCGGGCUGGCAAGGCGCAU
RNAcentral lists this ribosomal RNA (449 nucleotides) under uncultured bacterium. Its description in RNAcentral is "bacterial SSU rRNA". It matches the Rfam family "Bacterial small subunit ribosomal RNA", at positions 355 to 825 of the family's 1533-position model. The record is from RNAcentral.